GUUUGGUGAGUGCCGAAGGAGGAUUUGACAAAGCUAAUUGUGUGUGUGUGUGUGUGUGUGUGUGUGUGUGUGUGUGUGUGUGCAGGUGCGUGUGUGUGUGCAUGUGCGUGCCUGGUUUCUGUGUCGGUGUGUGCAGGCACGCAUUAAUUAACGUAAUUCCUCAACAUCCAACAAGAGCGCAUCAGAAACCCGGGAGAAAAAGCCUCAUGCAUAUUUAGAUGAGCCUUCUACCUUCCAACCAGCGUGAAAAGAGUAUUUAGAGGGGAGAUGGUCUGGGCUAAUCUGCAUGUGAAUCAGGGGGGUGGACAAAAGGAUGAAAAGGCGGUGGAAACUCGAACACCAACCCUGCGGUCUCCAGGGGGUCAUUCAUCUUGCCGCGGUCGACAUCCUCGCGGCCUGGCUUCCUUCUGCGCAUGAGCGAACAGAGCCUUUUCCCAAAGACAGUUGGCAAAGGGCUGGUCUCGAACUCCUGACCUCAAGUGAUCCGCCUGCCUUGGCCUCCCAAAGGGCUGGGAUUACAGGUGUGAACCACCACGCCCAGCCGGAUCUUGCUCUGUUGCCCAGGCUGGAGUGCAAUGGUGUGAUCACAGCUCACUGCAACCUCUGCCUCCCUGAUCCUCCCACCUCAAUCUCCCAAGUAGCUGGGUCUACAGGUAUGUGGCACCAGACUCUGUUAAUUUUUGUAUUUUCUAUAGAGAUAGGGUCUCACUAUGUUGCCUAGACUGGUUUCAAAAUCCCGGGCUCAAGUGAUCCACCUGCCUUGGCCUCCCAAAAUGCUGGGAUUACUGGCACAAGCACCGCACCCGACCCUCUGCAGCUACUUACUCCUCCUAAGCAUCAGCCCUCUCAUCUCUGAAACAUGGCUCUUCCUGCCUACCUCAAAUAUUGGCUGUAAGGAUGAAAAUAAACAAUGAAGAUAAGGGUUUUGCAGAGCUU
Molecule: long non-coding RNA, 936 nt
Organism: Gorilla gorilla gorilla (western lowland gorilla)
Lineage: Eukaryota; Metazoa; Chordata; Mammalia; Primates; Hominidae
Exons: 3
Source: RefSeq, a predicted model, not a curated record